This 866-nucleotide ribosomal RNA is filed under the name uncultured bacterium. RNAcentral's name for it is "bacterial SSU rRNA". It matches the Rfam family "Bacterial small subunit ribosomal RNA", at positions 59 to 922 of the family's 1533-position model. The record is from RNAcentral.
CAGUCGAACGAAGAUAUUAAGAAUGAGAGCUUCGGCAGGAAUUUUUCUUAUCUUAGUGGCGGACGGGUGAGUAACGUGUGGGCAACCUGCCCUGCACUGGGGAAUAAUCAUUGGAAACGAUGACUAAUACCGCAUACGGUUCCUGGGAGGCAUCUUCCGGGAAAGAAAGGAUUUAUUCGGUGCAGGAUGGGCCCGCAUCUGAUUAGCUAGUUGGUGAGAUAACAGCCCACCAAGGCGACGAUCAGUAGCCGACCUGAGAGGGUGACCGGCCACAUUGGGACUGAGACACGGCCCAAACUCCUACGGGAGGCAGCAGUGGGGAAUGUUGCACAAUGGGCGAAAGCCUGAUGCAGCAACGCCGCGUGAAGGAAGAAGGGUUUCGGCUCGUAAACUUCUAUCAACAGGGACGAAAGAAAUGACGGUACCUGAAUAAGAAGCCCCGGCUAACUACGUGCCAGCAGCCGCGGUAAUACGUAGGGGGCAAGCGUUAUCCGGAAUUACUGGGUGUAAAGGGUGAGUAGGCGGCAUGGUAAGCCAGAUGUGAAAGCCUUGGGCUUAACCCGAGGAUUGCAUUUGGAACUAUCAAGCUAGAGUACAGGAGAGGAAAGCGGAAUUCCUAGUGUAGCGGUGAAAUGCGUAGAUAUUAGGAAGAACACCAGUGGCGAAGGCGGCUUUCUGGACUGAAACUGACGCUGAGGCACGAAAGCGUGGGGAGCGAACAGGAUUAGAUACCCUGGUAGUCCACGCCGUANACGAUGAGUGCUAGGUGUCGGGGAGNAAUCCCCGGUGCCGCAGCUAACGCAAUAAGCACUCCACCUGGGGAGUACGACCGCAAGGUUGAAACUCAAAGGAAUUGACGGGGGCCC